GUAGUACUCCCUUCGUUCCAAAUUACUCGUCGUGGUUUUAGUUCAAACCACGACGAGUAAUUUGGAANAAAUUACUCGUCGUGGUUUUAGUUCAAACCACGACGAGUAAUUUGGAACGAAGGGAGUACUAG
This is a non-coding RNA of Triticum aestivum (bread wheat), 131 nucleotides long. NCBI's taxonomy places the organism in Eukaryota, Viridiplantae, Streptophyta, Magnoliopsida, Poales, Poaceae. The record is from Rfam.